RNAcentral lists this ribosomal RNA (286 nucleotides) under uncultured soil bacterium. RNAcentral describes it as "partial 16S ribosomal RNA". It matches the Rfam family "Bacterial small subunit ribosomal RNA", at positions 26 to 314 of the family's 1533-position model. The record is from RNAcentral.
AGAUUGAACGCUGGCGGCAGGCCUAACACAUGCAAGUCGAGCGGCAGCACGGGUACUUGUACCUGGUGGCGAGCGGCGGACGGGUGAGUAAUGCCUAGGAAUCUGCCUGGUAGUGGGGGAUAACGCUCGGAAACGGACGCUAAUACCGCAUACGUCCUACGGGAGAAAGCAGGGGACCUUCGGGCCUUGCGCUAUCAGAUGAGCCUAGGUCGAUUAGCUAGUUGGUGGGUAAUGGCUCACCAAGGCGACGAUCCGUAACUGGUCUGAGAGGAUGAUCAGUCACACG